UACGUAGGGUGCAAGCGUUAAUCGGAAUUACUGGGCGUAAAGCGUGCGCAGGCGGCUUUGCAAGACAGAUGUGAAAUCCCCGGGCUCAACCUGGGAACUGCAUUUGUGACUGCAUGGCUGGAGUGCGGCAGAGGGGGAUGGAAUUCCGCGUGUAGCAGUGAAAUGCGUAGAUAUGCGGAGGAACACCGAUGGCGAAGGCAAUCCCCUGGGCCUGCACUGACGCUCAUGCACGAAGGCGUGGGGAGCAAACAGG
This 253-nucleotide ribosomal RNA is filed under the name uncultured bacterium. Its description in RNAcentral is "partial 16S ribosomal RNA". It matches the Rfam family "Bacterial small subunit ribosomal RNA", at positions 524 to 776 of the family's 1533-position model. The record is from RNAcentral.